This 433-nucleotide unclassified non-coding RNA is filed under the name Zieria smithii. RNAcentral's name for it is "partial external transcribed spacer". Lineage: Eukaryota; Viridiplantae; Streptophyta; Magnoliopsida; Sapindales; Rutaceae. The record is from RNAcentral.
UGCAGGCUCCGUGCUGGUGCAUCGAACUGUUGACGCUCUGUCCGCUUCAAUCUUUCCCCAAGUGAAUCUCUUUCCUUGAGGGUUCGCGUGGUAUCCUGUGUUGCUUACCAAUGAAAUGGAAUUCAAUGUUUUUGUUUAGCGGAUUCGCCUAGKGCUCUUUUGGGCACGGGGUGGACGUGAGGUGAGCACUGUGUUCCCAACAUGCCUACAUGCUCUGGCAUAUGGUUGUUGUGGCCCAUGGUGUCUUCGCUUGUUCUCUUGGAUGCGGAAAGCUAUGUGUGGGCGUGAGRYCUAGRMCUCAAAUCGUUGAUGCACACUAUCCUUUGACUCGAAUGACUGCUGCGCCCGUCUUGAUCUCUCCGACCAAGGYCUCUUAAUGUGGCUUACUGGACGAGGAGGGCUCAUGCGGGUGUUGGCGUCUAAGAGGAAUGCU